UUUCUUGUCGGGUCAGUAUCAAAAAACGCCAGGUAGGUUUUUUUAUUUUUAAAAUCAAACGUCAUCGGGUGGGCACCACCGUCGUUCCAGGACGAUAAUAUUAUAAUGCAUUGUUUUCGACACGAUCCAUAUAUGUUCGGUGUAGUUUCGCCGAACCAGGUACGCAAGUAGAAAAGGAUUUCUGUGGAAGGGGAUUCAACCUUCACUGCAGGUCUACGCGUGUCUGCGUCGAACUAUUUCCCCAAGUUCAUGGUUUUUUAGAAGUUCAAAAAUAUAACGACUUCAACUAAGUAUAUAAUAGCAUUCAAAUUCAAACAAAAUUACCGAAGUGCAACAAAGUCAUAAAAAAAUAAGAGCGUUCGUGAUAAAUGGAAAUGAUUGACACCACUAUCUAUUGUAAAAUGGAAUUAA
Rhopalosiphum maidis (corn leaf aphid) is the source of this 411-nucleotide long non-coding RNA. RefSeq lists it as uncharacterized. The record is from RefSeq and is a predicted model, not a curated record. Lineage: Eukaryota; Metazoa; Arthropoda; Insecta; Hemiptera; Aphididae. The transcript has 3 exons.